This 447-nucleotide ribosomal RNA is filed under the name uncultured bacterium. RNAcentral describes it as "bacterial SSU rRNA". It matches the Rfam family "Bacterial small subunit ribosomal RNA", at positions 355 to 825 of the family's 1533-position model. The record is from RNAcentral.
UCGGGAAUUUUGGGCAAUGGGCGAAAGCCUGACCCAGCAACGCCGCGUGAAGGAUGAAGUAUUUCGGUAUGUAAACUUCGAAAGGAUAGGAAGAAUAAAUGACGGUACUAUUUAUAAGGUCCGGCUAACUACGUGCCAGCAGCCGCGGUAAUACGUAGGGACCAAGCGUUGUUCGGAUUUACUGGGCGUAAAGGGCGCGUAGGCGGCAUGACAAGUCACUUGUGAAAUCUCUGGGCUUAACCCAGAACGGCCAAGUGAUACUGUCGCGCUAGAGUGCAGAAGGGGCAAUCGGAAUUCUUGGUGUAGCGGUGAAAUGCGUAGAUAUCAAGAGGAACACCUGAGGUGAAGACGGGUUGCUGGGCUGACACUGACGCUGAGGCGCGAAAGCCAGGGGAGCAAACGGGAUUAGAUACCCAAGUAGUCCCUGAGCGGGCUGGCAAGGCGCAU